GCUCGGUUAGCUCAGUUGGUAGAGCAUCAGACUUUUAAUCUGAGGGUCAGGGAAUCAAGUCCCCCAACGGGAA
RNAcentral lists this transfer RNA (73 nucleotides) under Schistosoma margrebowiei. It matches the Rfam family "tRNA". Rfam says of the family: Transfer RNA (tRNA) molecules are approximately 80 nucleotides in length. Lineage: Eukaryota; Metazoa; Platyhelminthes; Trematoda; Strigeidida; Schistosomatidae. The record is from Rfam by way of RNAcentral.